UCGGGAAUUUUUGUCAAUGGGCGAAAGCCUGAACGAGCGACACCGCGUGAACGACGAAGAUCUUAGGAUUGUAAAGUUCUUUUGCUUGAGAAGAACACGGUUGCGACAACAUCAAUACCGUUUGACGGUACCAAGCGAAUAAGCUCCAGCCAACUACGUGCCAGCAGCUGCGGUAAUACGUAGGGAGCAAGCGUUAUCCGGAAUUACUGGGUGUAAAGGGUGCGUAGGUGGUUUCUUAAGUCAGAGGUGAAAGGCUACGGCUCAACCGUAGUACGCCUUUGAAACUGGGAAACUUGAGUGCAGGGGAGGAGAGUGGAAUUCCGAGUGUAGCGGUGAAAUGCGUAGAUAUUAGGAGGAACACCAGUGGCGAAGGCGGCUUUCUGGACUGUAACUGACGCUGAAGCACGAAAGCGUGGGGAGCAAACA
This 426-nucleotide ribosomal RNA is filed under the name uncultured prokaryote. RNAcentral's name for it is "bacterial SSU rRNA". It matches the Rfam family "Bacterial small subunit ribosomal RNA", at positions 355 to 774 of the family's 1533-position model. The record is from RNAcentral.